RNAcentral lists this ribosomal RNA (253 nucleotides) under uncultured bacterium. Its description in RNAcentral is "partial 16S ribosomal RNA". It matches the Rfam family "Bacterial small subunit ribosomal RNA", at positions 524 to 776 of the family's 1533-position model. The record is from RNAcentral.
GACGUAGGGGGCAAGCGUUGUUCGGAAUUAUUGGGCGUAAAGCGCUCGUAGGCGGGACAGGAAGUUCGUGUUGAAAGACCUCGGCUCAACUGAGGGACCGGCUCGAAUACUCUUGUUCUUGAGGCAAUCAGAGGGUGAUGGAAUUCCCGGUGUAGCGGUGAAAUGCGUAGAUAUCAAGUGGAACACCAGUGGCGAAGGCGAGUCUCUGGACAUUUCCUGACGCUGAGGCACGAAAGCCAGGGGAGCAAACGGG